RNAcentral lists this ribosomal RNA (253 nucleotides) under uncultured bacterium. RNAcentral's name for it is "partial 16S ribosomal RNA". It matches the Rfam family "Bacterial small subunit ribosomal RNA", at positions 524 to 776 of the family's 1533-position model. The record is from RNAcentral.
UACGUAGGGUGCGAGCGUUGUCCGGAAUUACUGGGCGUAAAGCGCUCGUAGGCGGUUUGUCGCGUUGUCCGUGAAAACUCACAGCUUAACUGUGGGCGUGCGGGCGAUACGGGCAGACUGGAGUACUGCAGGGGAGACUGGAAUUCCUGGUGUAGCGGUGGAAUGCGCAGAUAUCAGGAGGAACACCGGUGGCGAAGGCGGGUCUCUGGGCAGUAACUGACGCUGAGGAGCGAAAGCGUGGGGAGCGAACAGG